UAGGGAAUCUUCGGCAAUGGGGGCAACCCUGACCGAGCAACGCCGCGUGAGUGAAGAAGGUUUUCGGAUCGUAAAGCUCUGUUGUAAGAGAAGAACGUGUGUGAGAGUGGAAAGUUCACACAGUGACGGUAACUUACCAGAAAGGGACGGCUAACUACGNGCCNG
RNAcentral lists this ribosomal RNA (165 nucleotides) under uncultured bacterium. Its description in RNAcentral is "partial 16S rRNA". It matches the Rfam family "Bacterial small subunit ribosomal RNA", at positions 355 to 511 of the family's 1533-position model. The record is from RNAcentral.